ACCGAGCGACGCCGCGUGGGUGAUGAAGAUCCUCGGAUCGUAAAACCCUGUCAGGUGGGAUGAAACACCAUUCGGUUAAUACCCGAGUGGCUUGACAGUACCACCAGAGGAAGCUCCGGCCAACUCCGUGCCAGCAGCCGCGGUAACACGGGGGGAGCAAGCGUUGUUCGGAUUCAUUGGGCGUAAAGAGCUCGUAGGCGGCUCUAUAAGUCGGGAGUGAAAGACCACGGCUCAACCGUGGAAACGCUUUCGAAACUGCGGAGCUUGAGGCCGGGAGAGGAGAUUGGAAUUCCUGGUGUAGCGGUGAAAUGCGUAGAUAUCAGGAGGAACACCCGUGGCGAAGGCGAAUCUCUGGACCGGUUCUGACGCUGAGGAGCGAAAGCUAGGGGAGCAAACAGGAUUAGAUACCCUGGUAGUCCUAGCUGUAAACGAUGGGCACUAGGUGUGGGGGGAUCGACCCCUUCCGUGCCGCAGUUAACGCAUUAAGUGCCCCGCCUGGGGAGUACGACCGCAAGGUUG
This 519-nucleotide ribosomal RNA is filed under the name uncultured bacterium. Its description in RNAcentral is "bacterial SSU rRNA". It matches the Rfam family "Bacterial small subunit ribosomal RNA", at positions 386 to 896 of the family's 1533-position model. The record is from RNAcentral.